RNAcentral lists this ribosomal RNA (443 nucleotides) under uncultured Leptonema sp. RNAcentral's name for it is "bacterial SSU rRNA". It matches the Rfam family "Bacterial small subunit ribosomal RNA", at positions 933 to 1382 of the family's 1533-position model. Lineage: Bacteria; Pseudomonadati; Spirochaetota; Leptospiria; Leptospirales; Leptospiraceae. The record is from RNAcentral.
UGGAGCAUGUGGUUUAAUUCGAUGAUACGCGAAAACCUUACCCGGGCUUGACAUGCAUCAGACAGGCGUAGAGAUACGCCCUCCGCGAGGCUGGUGCACAGGUGCUGCAUGGUUGUCGUCAGCUCGUGUCGUGAGAUGUUGGUUAAGUCCCGCAACGAGCGCAACCCCUACCGUGUGUUACCAUCAUUAAGUUGGGGACUCGCACGGAACUGCCGGUGAUAAACCGGAGGAAGGUGGGGAUGACGUCAAAUCCUCAUGGCCUUUAUGUCCGGGGCUACACACGUGCUACAAUGGUCGGUACAGAAGGAAGCGAAGUCGUGAGAUGGAGCAGAUCCGAGAAAGCCGAUCUCAGUUCGGAUUGCAGGCUGCAAUUCGCCUGCAUGAAGUCGGAAUCGCUAGUAAUCGCAGGUCAGCAUACUGCGGUGAAUACGUUCCCGGGCCUU